RNAcentral lists this ribosomal RNA (404 nucleotides) under Protaspa obliqua. Its description in RNAcentral is "partial small subunit ribosomal RNA". It matches the Rfam family "Eukaryotic small subunit ribosomal RNA", at positions 30 to 432 of the family's 1831-position model. Lineage: Eukaryota; Cercozoa; Thecofilosea; Cryomonadida; Protaspidae. The record is from RNAcentral.
GCUUGUCUCAAAGAUUAAGCCAUGCAUGUCUAAGUAUAAGCAACCUUAUACAGCGAAACUGCGUACAGCUCAUUAUAUCAGCAAUUAUUUAUUUGAAGAUCACCUAUUACAUGGAUAACCGUGGUAAUUCUAGAGCUAAUACAUGCGAAAAGACGGGCCGCAAGGCUUGUUGUAUUUAUUAGAUAAAAAACCAAUGCGGGUUCUGCCCGGUUUUGUGUUGAAUCAUAGUAACUUUUCGAAUCGCAUGGCUUCACGCCGGCGAUAGUUCAUUCAAAUUUCUGCCCUAUCAGCUUUCGACGGUAGUGUAGUGGACUACCGUGGCGUUAACGGGUAACGGAGAAUUAGGGUUCGAUUCCGGAGAGGGAGCCUGAGAAACGGCUACCACAUCUAAGGAAGGCAGCAGG